Molecule: transfer RNA, 73 nt
Filed under: Ovis aries (sheep)
Lineage: Eukaryota; Metazoa; Chordata; Mammalia; Artiodactyla; Bovidae
Rfam family: tRNA
About the family: Transfer RNA (tRNA) molecules are approximately 80 nucleotides in length. Their secondary structure includes four short double-helical elements and three loops (D, anti-codon, and T loops).
Source: Rfam by way of RNAcentral
UCCCUGGUGGACCAGUGGUUAGGACUCUGAGCUUCCACAGCAGGGAGUCUGGGUUCAAUCCCUGGUCAGGGAA